GUGCGGCUCUGUUUCCUUCCAUGGCGAGGCCGAGGUCACUCGGGCGUGGCAGGGCAGCGGGGCGGCGGGGCUUCCUUCCACGACGGGGCGGUGGCUGGAGUUGUCGCCGCGGAGCAGGAGGUCGGAGUUGUUCGAGUCCAACUAUGGGCUUGCGCGGAGGCAGAGGAGCUCCCGUCGUCCAUGGCGAAGCUUCUAGCUAGUUGCCACUGUUUCGAGGAGGAUGUAGGAGGAUGCGUCGCCGGCGAGAUUGGAUGAUUUUGUUCGCCAGCUUCAUCCCUGAGUGUAUCGGAGGUGUCGAGUGCAGGCAGCCGUGGAUGGUCAAGAGGUUGGUGAAUAGCAAGGCAGUCGCGGAUGGUCAAGCGAUCCAACAUAAUUUUGGGGGAGAUGUACAAGCUUGACCUAGAAAACGAGAGAAAAGAGGAUCCGGGAAGCAGUAGGGGUGAGGUGGAGAAGUGAAGUACCUGUCCUGAGAGUGUAUGAUGUACAGAGGGUUGCCUAGAUUCAUCCGCAC
Non-coding RNA from Lolium perenne, 511 nucleotides. The record is from RefSeq and is a predicted model, not a curated record. Lineage: Eukaryota; Viridiplantae; Streptophyta; Magnoliopsida; Poales; Poaceae.